CCUACGGGAGGCAGCAGUGGGGAAUAUUGGGCAAUGGGCGCAAGCCUUACCCAGCAAUACCGCGUGAGUGAAGAAGGUCUUCGGAUUGUAAAGCUCUUUGAUCAGGGACGAACAGAUGACGGUACCUGAAGAACAAGCCCCGCCUAACUACGUGCCAGCAGACGCGGUAAAACGGUGGGGGCGAGCGGUGUCCGGAAUGAAUGGGCGUAAAGGGUCAGUAGGCGGGAGAAUAAAGUAGAAGUGAAAUACCCAGAGCUUAACUCGGGUGCUGCUUGUAAGACUGGUGAGCUUGAGUGCUGGAGGGGUUAAUGGAAUUCCUAGUGUAGCGGUGGAAUGCGUAGAUAUUAGGAGGAACACCAGAGGCGAAGGCGAUUAACUGGACCGUAACUGACGCUGAGGUACGAAAGUGUGGGUAGCAAACAGGAUUAGAUACCCUAGUAGUC
This 443-nucleotide ribosomal RNA is filed under the name uncultured bacterium. RNAcentral describes it as "partial 16S ribosomal RNA". It matches the Rfam family "Bacterial small subunit ribosomal RNA", at positions 338 to 795 of the family's 1533-position model. The record is from RNAcentral.